Molecule: ribosomal RNA, 253 nt
Filed under: uncultured bacterium
Lineage: Bacteria
Description: partial 16S ribosomal RNA
Rfam family: Bacterial small subunit ribosomal RNA
Source: RNAcentral
UACGUAGGUGGCGAGCGUUGUCCGGAUUUACUGGGCGUAAAGAGCGCGCAGGCGGUCGUACAAGUCGCGUGUGAAAGCCCCCGGCUCAACUGGGGAGGGUCACGCGAUACUGUUCGACUCGAAGGCAGGAGAGGGAAGUGGAAUUCCCGGUGUAGUGGUGAAAUGCGUAGAUAUCGGAAGGAACAUCAGUGGCGAAAGCGACUUCCUGGACCAAUACUGACGCUCAUGUGCGAAAGCGUGGGGAGCAAACAGG